RNAcentral lists this ribosomal RNA (253 nucleotides) under uncultured bacterium. RNAcentral's name for it is "partial 16S ribosomal RNA". It matches the Rfam family "Bacterial small subunit ribosomal RNA", at positions 524 to 776 of the family's 1533-position model. The record is from RNAcentral.
UACGUAGGGGGCGAGCGUUGUCCGGAUUUAUUGGGCGUAAAGAGCUCGUAGGCGGCUGUUCGAGUCGGGUGUGAAACCCCAGGGCUUAACUCUGGGCCUGCAUUCGAUACUGGGCGGCUUGAGUCUGGUAGGGGGAUCUGGAAUUCCUGGUGUAGCGGUGGAAUGCGCAGAUAUCAGGAGGAACACCGGUGGCGAAGGCGGCAUCCUGGACCGGCAUUGACGCUGAGGAGCGAAAGCUAGGGGAGCAAACGGG